Molecule: long non-coding RNA, 350 nt
Filed under: Solanum tuberosum (potato)
Lineage: Eukaryota; Viridiplantae; Streptophyta; Magnoliopsida; Solanales; Solanaceae
Description: long non-coding RNA (STUB_LNC009630)
Source: RNAcentral
UUAGAGGUCUUUGUUGCACUAUAAUUUUUCCAUUCUCAAUCAUAUUUUGGAUCUUAUUUUUCAAUGCUGGGCAUUCCUCAGUGUCAUGACCUUGAAUAUUUGAAUGAUACACACAGUUCUUGGAAAGGUCCAAAGUUGAAGAUGAGUGCUUAGGGAUCCAUCCUUCUCUUGGCUUCAAAAGUCCUUUAGCCCAUAAUCUUUGAAAAAUGCUAGUCAAAGUUUCCAUUAAGGGGGUAAAGGUACGAGGCUUCCUUACCUUAAGUUGAGAUACUUGCGGGUUGUAAGGCUUGAAACGCAUACCAGAUGAAUCAAAAAUAGCAUGAACCUGCUCAGUAUUCUGAUUGUUCUGU